CGACCGACGCACGGGUGCGUAACGCGUAUGCAACCUACCUUUAACAGGGGGAUAACACUGAGAAAUUGGUACUAAUACCCCAUAAUAUCAUAGAAGGCAUCUUUUAUGGUUGAAAAUUCCGAUGGUUAGAGAUGGGCAUGCGUUGUAUUAGCUAGUUGGUGGGGUAACGGCUCACCAAGGCGACGAUACAUAGGGGGACUGAGAGGUUAACCCCCCACACUGGUACUGAGACACGGACCAG
Molecule: ribosomal RNA, 241 nt
Filed under: uncultured bacterium
Lineage: Bacteria
Description: partial 16S ribosomal RNA
Rfam family: Bacterial small subunit ribosomal RNA
Source: RNAcentral